This 45-nucleotide non-coding RNA is filed under the name Schistosoma curassoni. The record is from RNAcentral. Lineage: Eukaryota; Metazoa; Platyhelminthes; Trematoda; Strigeidida; Schistosomatidae.
AUCCAGUCGACGCGCUUCAAAUAAGACGAAACGCGCGUCCUGGAU